GUCGAGCGAACAGACGAGGAGCUUGCUCCUCUGACGUUAGCGGCGGACGGGUGAGUAACACGUGGAUAACCUACCUAUAAGACUGGGAUAACUUCGGGAAACCGGAGCUAAUACCGGAUAAUAUAUUGAACCGCAUGGUUCAAUAGUGAAAGACGGUUUUGCUGUCACUUAUAGAUGGAUCCGCGCCGCAUUAGCUAGUUGGUAAGGUAACGGCUUACCAAGGCAACGAUGCGUAGCCGACCUGAGAGGGUGAUCGGCCACACUGGAACUGAGACACGGUCCAGACUCCUACGGGAGGCAGCAGUAGGGAAUCUUCCGCAAUGGGCGAAAGCCUGACGGAGCAACGCCGCGUGAGUGAUGAAGGUCUUCGGAUCGUAAAACUCUGUUAUUAGGGAAGAACAAAUGUGUAAGUAACUAUGCACGUCUUGACGGUACCUAAUCAGAAAGCCACGGCUAACUACGUGCCAGCAGCCGCGGUAAUACGUAGGUGGCAAGCGUUAUCCGGAAUUAUUGGGCGUAAAGCGCGCGUAGGCGGUUUUUUAAGUCUGAUGUGAAAGCCCACGGCUCAACCGUGGAGGGUCAUUGGAAACUGGAAAACCUGAGUGCAGAAGAGGAAAGUGGAAUUCCAUGUGUAGCGGUGAAAUGCGCAGAGAUAUGGAGGAACACCAGUGGCGAAGGCGACUUUCUGGUCUGUAACUGACGCUGAUGUGCGAAA
This 715-nucleotide ribosomal RNA is filed under the name uncultured Staphylococcus sp. RNAcentral's name for it is "bacterial SSU rRNA". It matches the Rfam family "Bacterial small subunit ribosomal RNA", at positions 61 to 758 of the family's 1533-position model. The record is from RNAcentral. Lineage: Bacteria; Bacillati; Bacillota; Bacilli; Caryophanales; Staphylococcaceae.